Molecule: ribosomal RNA, 497 nt
Filed under: uncultured bacterium
Lineage: Bacteria
Description: partial 16S ribosomal RNA
Rfam family: Bacterial small subunit ribosomal RNA
Source: RNAcentral
GAUGAACGCUGGCGGCGUGCCUAAUACAUGCCAGUCGAGCGAACGGACGAGAAGCUUUCUUGUCGGAGGUUAGCGGCGGACGGGGGAGGAACACGUGGAGAACCUACCUAUAAGACUUGGAGAACUUCGGGAAGCCGGAGCGAAUACCGGGUGAUAUUUUGAGCCGCAUGGUUCAAAAGUGAAAGACGGUCUUGCUGUCACUUGUAGAUGGAUCCGCGCUGCAUUAGCUAGUUGGUAAGGUAAUGGCUUACCAAGGCAACGAUGCAUAGCCGACCUGAGAGGGUGAUCGACGACCAUAGAAGUACGACAAGGCCCAGACGCCUACGGGAGGCAGCAGUAGUGAAUAUUCCGGAACGGUCGAAAGCAUGCCGGAGCAACGCCGCGGGAGUGAUGAAGGUCUUCGUCUCGUAAAACUCUUUUAUUAGGGAAGAACAUAUGUGUAAGUAACUGUGCACGUCUUGACGGUACCUAAACAGAAAGCCACGGCUAACUACGUG